This 475-nucleotide ribosomal RNA is filed under the name Selenomonas sp. oral taxon 140. Its description in RNAcentral is "bacterial SSU rRNA". It matches the Rfam family "Bacterial small subunit ribosomal RNA", at positions 28 to 474 of the family's 1533-position model. The record is from RNAcentral. Lineage: Bacteria; Bacillati; Bacillota; Negativicutes; Selenomonadales; Selenomonadaceae.
GACGAACGCUGGCGGCGUGCUUAACACAUGCAAGUCGAACGGAGCGAAUGAAAGCUUGCUUUUAUAAGCUUAGUGGCAAACGGGUGAGUAACACGUAGGCAACCUGCCGACAGGAUGGGGACAACAUUCCGAAAGGAAUGCUAAUACCGAAUGAAGUCGAGGGAGGGCAUCCUCCUCCGAUGAAAGAUGGCCUCUAUUUAUAAGCUAUCACCUGUCGAUGGGCCUGCGUCUGAUUAGCUGGUAGGUGAGGUAACGGCUCACCUAGGCGACGAUCAGUAGCCGGUCUGAGAGGAUGAACGGCCACAUUGGGACUGAGACACGGCCCAGACUCCUACGGGAGGCAGCAGUGGGGAAUCUUCCGCAAUGGGCGCAAGCCUGACGGAGCAACGCCGCGUGAGUGAAGAAGGUCUUCGGAUCGUAAAGCUCUGUUGAUGGGGACGAACGUGCCUAAUGCGAAUAGUUUUAGGCAAUGACG